GACGAACGCUGGCGGCGUGCUUAACACAUGGAAGUCGAUCGAAGAGCGACGGAAGCUUGCUUCUAUCAAUCUUAGUGGCGAACGGGUGAGUAACGCGUAAUCAACCUGCCCUUCAGAGGGGGACAACAGUUGGAAACGACUGCUAAUACCGCAUACGAUCUAAUCUCGGCAUCGAGGAUAGAUGAAAGGUGGCCUCUACAUGUAAGCUAUCACUGAAGGAGGGGAUUGCGUCUGAUUAGCUAGUUGGAGGGGUAACGGCCCACCAAGGCGAUGAUCAGUAGCCGGUCUGAGAGGAUGAACGGCCACAUUGGGACUGAGACACGGCCCAGACUCCUACGGGAGGCAGCAGUGGGGAAUCUUCCGCAAUGGACGAAAGUCUGACGGAGCAACGCCGCGUGAGUGAUGACGGCCUUCGGGUUGUAAAGCUCUGUUAAUCGGGACGAAAGGCCUUCUUGCAAAUAGUGAGAAGGAUUGACGGUACCGGAAUAGAAAGCCACGG
RNAcentral lists this ribosomal RNA (499 nucleotides) under Veillonella parvula. RNAcentral describes it as "bacterial SSU rRNA". It matches the Rfam family "Bacterial small subunit ribosomal RNA", at positions 28 to 496 of the family's 1533-position model. The record is from RNAcentral. Lineage: Bacteria; Bacillati; Bacillota; Negativicutes; Veillonellales; Veillonellaceae.